RNAcentral lists this non-coding RNA (180 nucleotides) under Comamonadaceae bacterium. RNAcentral describes it as "6S RNA". It matches the Rfam family "6S / SsrS RNA". From Rfam's summary of the family: E. coli 6S RNA was the first non coding RNA to be sequenced, but its function was unknown until recently. The record is from RNAcentral. RNAcentral also lists the same sequence under 1 other name. Lineage: Bacteria; Pseudomonadati; Pseudomonadota; Betaproteobacteria; Burkholderiales; Comamonadaceae.
CGGUGUCUGCGGUGCUGGCGGGCUUUAUAGUUCCUUGAACCAAUGCUCAUUGAGCACGGGCUUGGUACAUCGCCAGGUGAGCGUGAUCAUCUCGCGUCAGAUGAACCCAACGCUUGGCUGCCCUCGCCCACCUGAACCCCCGGUUCAGGAUGCCGGCUCGUUGGCAUUCGCAGACACCUU